This 70-nucleotide transfer RNA is filed under the name Dipodomys ordii (Ord's kangaroo rat). It matches the Rfam family "tRNA". From Rfam's summary of the family: Transfer RNA (tRNA) molecules are approximately 80 nucleotides in length. Their secondary structure includes four short double-helical elements and three loops (D, anti-codon, and T loops). Lineage: Eukaryota; Metazoa; Chordata; Mammalia; Rodentia; Heteromyidae. The record is from Rfam by way of RNAcentral.
GGGGAUGUGGCUUAGUGGUAGAGUGCUUGCCUAACAUGCAUGAAGCCCUGGGUUCGAUUCCUCAGUACCA